Molecule: long non-coding RNA, 139 nt
Organism: Salvelinus fontinalis (brook trout)
Lineage: Eukaryota; Metazoa; Chordata; Actinopteri; Salmoniformes; Salmonidae
Exons: 3
Source: RefSeq, a predicted model, not a curated record
UCUCCUCACCACUAUAGUAGACAGCUGUAGGUAUCUCCUCACCACUAUAGUAGACAGCUGUAGGUAUCUCCUCACCACUACAGUAGACAGUAGACAGCUGUAGGUAUCUCCUCACCACUACAGUAGACAGCUGUAGGUA